AGAGUUUGAUCCUGGCUCAGGAUGAACGCUAGCUACAGGCUUAACACAUGCAAGUCGAGGGGAAACGAUAGAGAAAGCUUGCUUUUUCUAGGCGUCGACCGGCGCACGGGUGAGUAACGCGUAUCUAACCUGCCCACCACUUGGGGAUAACCUUGCGAAAGUAAGACUAAUACCCAAUGACGUCUCUAGAAGGCAUCUGAAAGGGAUUAAAGAUUUAUCGGUGAUGGAUGGGGAUGCGUCUGAUUAGCUUGUUGGCGGGGUAACGGCCCACCAAGGCAACGAUCAGUAGGGGUUCUGAGAGGAAGGUCCCCCACAUUGGAACUGAGACACGGUCCAAACUCCUACGGGAGGCAGCAGUGAGGAAUAUUGGUCAAUGGGCGAGAGCCUGAACCAGCCAAGUAGCGUGCAGGAUGACGGCCCUAUGGGUUGUAAACUGCUUUUAUAAGGGAAUAAAGUGAGCCUCGUGAGGCUUUUUGCAUGUACCUUAUGAAUAAGGACCGGCUAAUUCCGUGCCAGCAGCCGCGGUAAUACGGAAGGUCCGGGCGUUAUCCGGAUUUAUUGGGUUUAAAGGGAGCGUAGGCUGGAGAUUAAGCGUGUUGUGAAAUGUAGAUGCUCAACAUCUGCACUGCAGCGCGAACUGGUUUCCUUGAGUACGCACAAAGUGGGCGGAAUUCGUGGUGUAGCGGUGAAAUGCUUAGAUAUCACGAAGAACUCCGAUUGCGAAGGCAGCUCACUGGAGCGCAACUGACGCUGAAGCUCGAAAGUGCGGGUAUCGAACAGGAUUAGAUACCCUGGUAGUCCGCACGGUAAACGAUGGAUGCCCGCUGUUGGUCUGAAUAGGUCAGCGGCCAAGCGAAAGCAUUAAGCA
RNAcentral lists this ribosomal RNA (868 nucleotides) under uncultured bacterium. Its description in RNAcentral is "bacterial SSU rRNA". It matches the Rfam family "Bacterial small subunit ribosomal RNA", at positions 8 to 866 of the family's 1533-position model. The record is from RNAcentral.